UGAGCAAUCUGCCCUUCUCUUUGGAAUAAGCGUUGGAAACGACGUCUAAUGCCGAAUACGACCUCCUUUCGCAUGAUCGGAGGUGGAAAGCUCCGGCGGAGAAGGAUGAGCUCGCGGCCUAUCAGCUAGUUGGUGUGGGUAACGGCCCACCAAGGCGACGACGGGUAGCCGGCCUGAGAGGGUGACCGGCCACACUGGGACUGAGACACGGCCCAGACUCCGUACGGGAGCAGCAGGG
RNAcentral lists this ribosomal RNA (238 nucleotides) under uncultured bacterium. RNAcentral's name for it is "partial 16S ribosomal RNA". It matches the Rfam family "Bacterial small subunit ribosomal RNA", at positions 118 to 354 of the family's 1533-position model. The record is from RNAcentral.